AUUGCCCUAGUAACGGGCGAGUGAAGCGGCAACAGCUCAAAUUUGAAAUCUGGCCUUCGGGUCCGAGUUGUAAUUUGUAGAGGAUGCUUUUGGUGCGGUACCUUCCGAGUUCCUUGGAACAGGACGCCUUAGAGGGUGAGAGCCCCGUACGGUUGGAUACCAAGCCUCUGUAAAGCUCCUUCGACGAGUCGAGUAGUUUGGGAAUGCUGCUCUAAAUGGGAGGUAAAUUUCUUCUAAAGCUAAAUACCGGCCAGAGACCGAUAGCGCACAAGUAGAGUGAUCGAAAGAUGAAAAGUACUUUGAAAAGAGGGUUAAAUAGCACGUGAAAUUGUUGAAAGGGAAGCGUUUAUGACCAGACCUUUGCCUGGCGGAUCAUCCGGUGUUCUUCACCGGUGCACUUCGCCCGGCUUAGGCCAGCAUCGAUUUUCGCAGGGGGAUAAAGGCCGCGGGAACGUGGCUCCCUUCGGGGAGCGUUAUAGCCCGCGGUGUAAUACCCUUGCGGGGAUCGAGGUUCGCGCUUCGGCAAGGAUGCUGGCAUAAUGGUCAUCAACGACCCGUCUUGAAACACGGACCAAGGAGUCGAACAUUUAUGCGAGUGUUUGGGUGUUAAACCCUCACGCGUAAUGAAAGUGAACGGAGGUGAGAGCCCUCUAGGGGGUGCAUCAUCGACCGAUCCUGAUGUCUUCGGAUGGAUUUGAGUAAGAGCAUAGCUGUUCGGACCCGAAAGAUGGUGAACUAUGCGUGGAUAGGGUGAAGCCAGAGGAAACUCUGGUGGAGGCUCGCAGCGGUUCUGACGUGCAAAUCGAUCGUCAAAUCUGCGCAUGGGGGCGAAAGACUUAUCGAACCAUCUAGUAGCUGGUUACCGCCGAAGUUUCCUCAUGAUAGCAGUGUUGUGUUCAGUUUUAUGAGGUAGAGCGAAUGAUUAGGGACUCGGGGGCGAUUUUUGCCUUCAUCCAUUCUCAACUUUAAAUAUGUAAGAACCCCUUGUUGCUUAGUUGAACGGGGCAUUCCAAUGAUCAACCCUAUUGGGCCAUUUUGUAAGCAGAAUGGGCAUCGGGAUGAACCAACUCAAGGUA
This 1076-nucleotide ribosomal RNA is filed under the name Monosporascus sp. Its description in RNAcentral is "partial large subunit ribosomal RNA". It matches the Rfam family "Eukaryotic large subunit ribosomal RNA", at positions 74 to 1181 of the family's 3401-position model. Lineage: Eukaryota; Fungi; Ascomycota; Sordariomycetes; Xylariales. The record is from RNAcentral.